AUUACGCAGUCAGCACAUAGUGCGCAGCAGAAGGAGAAGAGCAGGAAACUUUCCAGGACAAUAUGAAAACGUGUCUAAAUACUAUUUUUGUUAUGUUUUUGUUAACUAUUUACGUUGUUUUGUUGAUUUUCCACCGUGUUCCUGUUUUGGAGAUGUUUUAUUUUCUGGAACGGGACUUGGACAAUUAGAUUGGGUUGAAGAACUAUCGAGAUAGAUCGACAUAAGAGAACAUGUGCAGGAGCACAUGUGCUUGAGAUAAAGAUGGCGAGCCACCCACGGAACCUGUGAACUGCGCAUGCGCCAGGACCAGUUCAGGAGCAACAAGCCCUCUGCUGACCGGUGCAUGGUACUACAACUGGUAGGAUAAUCCAAUCUUUCUGCAAAACUGCAGUGGACCAAGGAUAACCACUGGAUUGUCCAAGACAAUCAAAGGACUAACAAAUAGAAAAGUUAUUCAGUCUUUUGCUGAAUUAUUUUGAAUUUGGUACAUUGUUCUAUUCUUUUGGUAUUUUCCUUAAUUAUUGUAAAAGGGUUAUUUUUGCAAUAAGUAAUUUGUAUGUUUGUAAACAAACUAACAAAUGUAAAAUUCCAAAAACUUGAAGGGAACCAGAAUAGAACUAAACUUGGUUUACUUUCAACCAAGUAGCUAAUUAGAAAUUGAUCAAGAACUAACACGAACUAAACAAAAGGUUGCAACCGAGUACUAAACCAACAACGGAACUAAACAUUAGCCAUAAUACCAAAUCUAGUGGUAAUAUGGUAUAAAACUUAAUUCUUUAAACCAAAAUAAGUUUUAAACAGAAAAGAGGCAGAAAGGUUUAACUCAACUGGAAGUGUGUAUUAUAUGUUUGUAUGUGUAAAUGUUUUUUGUCCAUAUUUGUACUUUUUCAAUAAUAAGCCGGCAGUUCAACUUA
Dunckerocampus dactyliophorus (ringed pipefish) is the source of this 914-nucleotide long non-coding RNA. RefSeq lists it as uncharacterized. The transcript has 2 exons. The record is from RefSeq and is a predicted model, not a curated record. Lineage: Eukaryota; Metazoa; Chordata; Actinopteri; Syngnathiformes; Syngnathidae.